RNAcentral lists this ribosomal RNA (468 nucleotides) under uncultured bacterium. Its description in RNAcentral is "partial 16S ribosomal RNA". It matches the Rfam family "Bacterial small subunit ribosomal RNA", at positions 28 to 507 of the family's 1533-position model. The record is from RNAcentral.
GACGAACGCUGGCGGCGUGCUUAACACAUGCAAGUCGAACGGAAAGGCCCUGCUUUUGUGGGGUGCUCGAGUGGCGAACGGGUGAGUAACACGUGAGUAACCUGACCUUGACUUUGGGAUAACUUCAGGAAACUGGGGCUAAUACCGGAUAGGAGCUCCUGCUGCAUGGUGGGGGUUGGAAAGUUUCGGCGGUUGGGGAUGGACUCGCGGCUUAUCAGCUUGUUGGUGGGGUAGUGGCUUACCAAGGCUUUGACGGGUAGCCGGCCUGAGAGGGUGACCGGCCACAUUGGGACUGAGAUACGGCCCAGACUCCUACGGGAGGCAGCAGUGGGGAAUAUUGCACAAUGGGCGGAAGCCUGAUGCAGCAACGCCACGUGCGGGAUGACGGCCUUCGGGUUGUAAACCGCUUUCGCCUGUGACGAAGCGUGAGUGACGGUAAUGGGUAAAGAAGCACCGGCUAACUACGUG